AGUGUGUUAAAGUUAUUCUGAUAUUGACUGUAGUUCUGAGCUUUGUCUCUAUCCCACCAAACCACUAACUUCUGGAAAUUACUUGUAGACCAAGAUGGGAGGACUCCGUGUGUGGCUCCAUAUGAAUGACUUAUCGUGCCUGUCCAGAGUCAGGGAAAGGAGAAACAAUCUUAUUUGAGAAGGGAGGAUAUCACUGCAGUGGUUGUGAAAUCGUGUUUGGAAGCUAGAUUGCUCUAGACCACUAAGGUCUGUGUCUCCUCUUGGUCUUCACAGCUCUCUUCAUGUGACAAAGAAACUUCCUAAAAUACUAAAAGCUAAAGGAGAUUGUUAUCUAAGCUUGAGAUGGAAGGUUGCCAGCGGAAACUUGGAGGAUCACAGCCAGUCGCCUGGGAUUGACCACAGGGAGUGGCAGAGGCAGAAAGCAAAAGACCAGUUGCAAUUAUCCAGAAUCCUGAAUUGAGCCUGUGUUCCCAGUUCCUAGAAACCCUCAAGGUUAUUGGUUUCCUCCUCGCUUAAUAGACCAGUGGAAGAAAUCUACCUCCAGUUCUAUCUUCACAUGAGCAACUGUUUACAGUUUACAAUAUUACUCUGAAAAUCAGUUCUUUUCAAGUUUUAUCUAACACCCACCAGAAGAAACAGAAGAUUAUGAAAAUGGAAUUUGUCAAAGUUCCUCUCCCAACAAUAUGAUAUUUAAUUUUGCUAACAUUUUUUUUUGAACACUUACUAUAUUGCAGACAAUGGUCUAAGUAAAGCAUUUUAUGUGCAUCCUAUCAUGUCAUCAUCACACAGCCCUGUGAGGUAGAUACUAUUAUUAUUAACCACAUUUCACAUUCAAAAAAACUGAGGCUUAGAGAGACUAAGUAAAUUGUCCAAGGUCACACAGCCAUGAAGUGGCAGAGCUGUGGUUAAAACCUAUGUCUGUCUGAUGUUUAAGAUUUUGCUGUUAGCAUUACUUUGAAAUGACAAUAUGAGGGCAUUUUAUGUAUUUUUUUUGCCCCAAUAUGAUCUGCAGAAACUAUGUAUUUUAAGUACUACAUUUCUUUUAUUUACCAAAUUAUUGUCAGAUAAGAAACCGAAAUAAAAGUUUACAGGGUCUAGGAUUCCUCCAUAAUGAAUGAACUUUGGGGUAUUUCAGUGACAAAUUGGCUUUAACGCGAUCAAAUUCCAUCCUACAAUGAAAGUGUGUUAGUUUGUGGUUUCAAGUUUAAAAACAGCACUGUAUUGUCUUCCAGAAAUAUAUAAAUAGAAAUUCAAGAAGUAUUUCAAUGAAUACAGAUAAAAUUAGUUUUGUUAGAACAUCAAAUAUGUGGGUUUCAUUUCUUAGCUCAGUUUAGAAACUGUAAUUUCAAUUUUUUUUAGCAGCUGUGGUAAAUUUUGAGAUUUGAAAUUUCAUAUAAUAUAAAUCCUCAUUUAUUGAGCAUUUAAAUUAUAUGCCCAACAAUUUACUGUGUACAUUACUUCACUUGUUCUUAACUAUAACUCUACAAAAUAUUAUUGUCCUUGAUUUAUAGAUGAAGAUAUUGAGACUCAGUUAAGUAACUUGCUUGAAAUUCAAAAACGUUAACUGUGGAAGGCAGUAUUUGAACCCAGUGUUCAAAACCCCAUGCUCUUUUUAUUAUAUGACCUUAUUUCCUAUUCAGUCUUCAGAAGAUAUAUUGUCUUAUUAGAUUAUUCUCGUUCUCUAAAUAAGUGACCUUGGGCAACUAUCUUUUUCCCUGGUAUUUUCCCCUGCCUUUAAAACAAUGUGAUCAAACUGGAAGUUUUUCACGAUCUCUCUUAGCCCUAAAGCUCCUUGGUUCUGUAAUUCCACCAAUAGCCCAUUUCAAAAAUAAUUCUACAGUAAUCAGUGGGACUCCUGUUUUUCCCAUCUUUUUUUUUUUUGAAACAGAAAAUUGAAACUUUUAAAUUAGUUUAGUAAAUACAUCUACUAGUUUUUUUCUUUUAUAGUCAUGGUUAUAUUAUUUGGUCCUUCUUAGUUGCAACAUGUUUCCUUGCUGUCAAUUUAUAAUACCUCUCAUCAACAAUAGCCUGAAGAAAUAGAUUUGAAUUGCUUUCCCUAAUUUAUAGCUGGAAAACUAGGCUACGCUGGUAUCUUAAAUUGACUUUCCUGAGGUCACGGGCACUCAGUGCCAAGAGGAGUUGGUACCUACGCAUUUGAAAUUUCUGGAUUUCUGGUCUUACUCUGUACUUAGUCACUCUUUUCUUUCAUUUGGCCCUAUGGUGGGCAAACUACAGCCUACAGGCCAAUUCCAGCCUACCAUCUGUUUUUGUAUGGUCCAUGAACUAAGAAUGGUUAUCACAUUUUAAAAUGGUGGGAAAAAAAGACUAUUUUGUGACAUAAAAAUUAUAUGAAAUCCAAA
Homo sapiens (human) is the source of this 2360-nucleotide long non-coding RNA. Ensembl annotates it as long intergenic non-protein coding RNA 1844. The record is from Ensembl. Lineage: Eukaryota; Metazoa; Chordata; Mammalia; Primates; Hominidae.